RNAcentral lists this long non-coding RNA (5208 nucleotides) under Olea europaea (common olive). RNAcentral's name for it is "long non-coding RNA (OEUR_LNC002204)". The record is from RNAcentral. Lineage: Eukaryota; Viridiplantae; Streptophyta; Magnoliopsida; Lamiales; Oleaceae.
UGGCAAUAGCGAAUCGUAAAUUAUACAAUUAACUAGAAAAUCAGAUUUUUAGUAUUUUUCAAUGAUUUGUGUUGGGGAUCCUAGGAGUUCAAUCAACCAAAACAUCAACCCAUAGACAAGAUUCAAGGCAAAACAAUGAAAAAGGGGAUGGAAAAAUACAACCUGUGUUCGGCUGGAAAUUUCUGCAGUUUUCCUUCAUCGUUUCAGCAGCUUCUUCUUCGAUUUAUGGGUGUUUUUCAGGCUCAGGAACAGCCUUCCAUGACUUGCUAAUUACCUUCCAAGAGAGAGGGGAAAACCAAUGAAGAACCAUAACCCUUUGCUAAACCAACCGAGAGCUCCUCUCUGCUGGGAGAAAAGAAACCGAGAGCUGCACCUUUUUAAAAUGGUAGAGGGUAAGUCUACAUAAGAAGGAAAGACCAUGCCUCUGCCAAAAACGUGGGAAGACCUUAUUGUGUCAACAUCAAUACCAUCAAGUCACAAGUUGAUAGUGUUAGGUGAACCAUAUCCUCACAUUCUUCAUCUUGGUUCUCCUAACACUCUCUCUUGGUUGCGAAUUUGCACAUGGAAGAACUGUUCAUCAUCAUCGCCCACCACGUGCAAGAAAAUUAACCAGUGUCAAUGUGUAAUAAAGAUAAGCACAAUCUAAAUUUACUUGCAGGUAGAAUUUUUGUUCCCAUAUCAGAGGGAUUCCUAUCAGUGUGAAUUUUAACAAGAUUAACUUCACCUUGAGACAAUUUCUCACGUAUAAAAUGAUACUUUACCUCAAUAUGUUUAGUUCUUUCAUGGUAAACAGGAUUUUCACAAAGCAAUAAAGCACUUUGACUAUCAGUAAACAUAACAGGUGUAUCAUGCAUGAAGUUCAAUUCUUUUAAAAUUCCUUUUAACUAAGUACAUUCUUUAGCCGCCUCAGUUAUGACAACAUAUUCUGCCUCAGUACUUGACAAAGUAACUAAAGGCUGCAGCUGUGACUUCCAUGUUAUACAAUUGUUACCUAGUGUAAAAAAGUACGCUGUGGUAGACUUUCUGCUAUCCUUGUCACCAGCAAAAUCAGAGUCUACAUACCCCUUUAGAGUAAGUUUUUCAGAUCUCUUUUCAUACACUAGAUCCAGAUUUCUGUGACUUCCAUGUUAUACAAUUGUCACCUAGUGUAAAAAAGUACGCUGUGGUAGACUUUCUGCUAUCCUUGUCACCAGCAAAAUCAGAGUCUACAUAUCCCUUUAGAGUAAGUUUUUCAGAUCUCUUUUCAUACACUAGACCCAGAUUUAAUGUACCAACAAUGUACCUUAACAACCAUUUCAAACCUGCCCAAUGAGGCUUUCCUGGGUUUGACAUAAAUCUACUCAAAAAGCUUAUAGCAUAGGCUAAGUCAGGCCUGGUUGUUAUCAUAGAGAACAUGACGGAACCUAUAGCAUUAGCGUAGGCUAUGUUCCUCAUUUCUCUAAAUUCCUCCUCAGUCUUAGGAGAUUGUGCACCAGAAAGAUUCAUAUGAGCUGCUAAGGGAACGUUCACAGAUUUUGAUCCAUUCAUACCAAAUUUGGUUAUGACUUUGUUUAGAUAGGCUUCUUGGGAAAUGACUAGUCUAUUUUCAGCCCUAUCUCUCUUUAUAACCAUCCCCAAAAUCUUCUUAGCACUCCCCAAAUCUUUCAUAUCAAAUUCUGAUUUUAAAAGGUUCUUCAUCUUAGUGAUUUCAGUCUUACUUGAACUUGCUAGAAGCAUGUCAUCUACAUACAGCAACAAGUAUUGUACUGAACAACCAAUGCAAGAACCAGUCUGAUUGUUUUGUACUUUAUCACAGGAGAGAAUAUCUCAUUGUAAUCAACCCCCUCCUUUUGAGUGAACCCUUUCGCCACUAAUCUGGCCUUAUACCUAGGAGGAUCACUAGGAUUAUUUCCUUCUUUCAAUUUGUAAAUCCACUUACAUUGAACUAUCCUAUGAUCCUUAGGUUUGUUAACUAACUUCCAAGUUUUAUUCUCCAUUAGAGAUUCCAUUUCUUCCCGCAUAGCUUUUAGCCAAUUUUCAGAACAUUUUCCAUUAACAGCUUCUUCAUAACUAGCAGGUUCUAUCUGUUCAAGGGCUUCACCUGAAACUAAGGCAAAAUCAGUCAAGUUUGGGGAUUCAUAUCUAGGAUUUGGCCUGAUCUGCCUCCUCCCCCGAUCCCUAGUAAGCUGAUAAUCUUGAUUAGGUGGCUGAUCAUUAAAAUGUUCAACUUCAACUGGUUCAAUGUUAUCUUGAAGUUUAGUCACCUCUUCAGGUUCAGGUUCAGGUUCAGGUUCAGGUUCAAUUUCAAUUUCAUUUUCAUUUUCAUGAUGUAUAGGGUCAUUUUCGUCAUUCCCAGGUGUAGGUGAAUUUAGCCUAGUCAGCUUCACCUCAGUCUGAAUACUCUUCUCAGUUUCAGAUUUGUUAGUUUCUUCGGUUUGCUGUUUUAGACAUGGCAUCUCAGAUUCAUUAAAGACUACAUUCCUGCUGUUAAUAAUAUUAAUGCCUUGGAACCCUAAAACCCAUAACCUAUAGCCCUUCACACCCUCGGGAUACCCUAACAUCACACACUUGACAGCCCUGGGCUCAAGUUUCCCUUCAGAUUGAUGUGCAUAUGCAGUACAUCCAAACACCCUCAAGUGUUCCAGAUUUGGAGGCUCUCCCGUCCACAACUCCUGUGGGGUCUUAAACCCUAUACUGCUGGACGGAGACCUAUUAAUCAGAUAAGCUGCAGUACUUGCAGCUUCAGCCCAAAAACCUUUCGCAAGGUCAGAGCUAAUCAACAUACACCUAACUUUGUUCAUUAUGGUCCUGUUCAUUCUUUCAGCGAUCCCAUUUUGUUCAGGUGUGUAUUUAACAGUUCUGUGUCUUGUUAUACCUUUCUGCUUACAGAAAUUGUCAAAUUCUCUAUUACAGAAUUCAAGCCCAUUAUCAGUUUUUAACGUUUUAAGUUUCUUAUCUAACUGAUUCUCAACAGACUUUAACCAAAUCCUGAAUUUUCCAAAAGUUUCCGACUUAGCCUUCAAAGGAUGAAUCGAAACAUUUCUUGAGUAAUCAUCCACUAAGGACAAGAAGUACUUGCUCCCACCAAAUGUGGAGUGCUUCUCCGAGCCCCAUAGAUCAGCAUGGACAUAGUCCAAUGGUCUGCUGGUCCUAUGAGAGCUAGCUUCAAAGCUCACCUUAUGAGACUUACCCAAAACACAAGUUUCACAGAAUUCCAUAGUUUCAAUGUCAUCUUUUCCAAGUAAUUUCUGAUUACUUAAAGAUUUUAGACCUUUAAACCCAAUGUGACCCAUUCUGUUAUGCCAAAGUUCAGUUUUGUCUUUACUCACAGCAAGAAGGCUAGAAUCAAAUGGUAUUUCAGUUCUACCCUCAAGAUAGUACAGCCCAUUCCUCUUGGGCCCCUUCAUAACUAUAAGAGAACCCUUCAUAAUUUUCAAAAUCUUGUUACCAGACUUGAACGUAUAUCCCUCAUCUUCCAGAGAACCUAAGGAAAUGAGGUUCCUCUUUAAAUUUAGGACAUAUCUAACAUUUCUAAGUUGCGUGACGGCCCCAUCGUACAUCCUGAUGGCUAUGUCACCAACUCCAAUCACAUUUUGAGAAUUAUUGUUUUCUUUUCAGAUCUUCCCCUAACAAAUAGACUCUCUUCACGAGAAUGAAUUCUGUUCUCUCUUUUUAAUUCAAGUUCUCUUGAUUUUAAAGCAUCAGAAACAAUAGCUUGAGUGAGAGUGUCCCUACCAUACUUUAUGGCAUUUUUCAUUUCUCUGUAAGAUUCGGGCAAAGAGUUUAGCAAUAUGACAGCUAAAUCCUCAUCAUCAAAUGUUUUAUCAUUAUGAGCUAGACUCUUAACAAUUAUGCUAAAGUCACUCAAAUUCCCCUCGACAUCCUUCCCCGGGUCCAUCUUAAAACUAAACAACUUCUCCAACAGGUAUAUUUUGUUAGGUAAAGUUUUAGUUAAGAACAGGGCAUCUAAAGCAAUCCACAAAGCUCUAGCAGUUUUAGCACUAUCAACUUGUCUCACAAUAUUGUUAGAUAGAUGCAAAAUUAUAUAACUGUAAGCAAUUUCAUUCAUGUCUUCAAUUUCAGUUGUUUUAGCUUUUAACUCAUCAGAAAAUGUAGCGGGAUCAUCAAGAGCUUUAGCAACUCUCUGUUGGAUCAAAAUGGCCCUCGUUUUCUGUUUCCAUAUCGAGUAAUCCCCCUUUCCAUCGAAUUGCGAUAAUUCGACCCUCGAACCCAUUAUAGAUUCUAUAAAAGAGUGGCCUCUACUCGUGGACACAACAAAAAAGGUUUUGAAAAAUUCUUUUCCAGAUGAUUAAUAUAAAACUGAGUACCGAGUUUAAAAACAAUUUUUUAUAAAUGAAGCAUAACAGUGAAAUAAUCCGUUCACGAAACACAGGUAUAUAAAGCAGGUAAAUAUGCUUCCAGGUUACAAAUUAAUCACAAGAAUUUAAUCAAUAGAAUUCACAAAUAAGCAACCAAGCAAUAACCAUGCAUAAACCGGUAAGGAUACCAAACCUAACCUAACGGAGAGUUUGGAAUAAUCUUACCAAACUACUGUUGACAAACAGUAAAUAUACCAACAAAUUUCUGAACCAAAUUGCCGUAGACGUCAAGGUAGGGGCAAAAUCGUCCAACUUUUUCUGUAAAAUCUGAAACAGAAAACAAACGACAUCAGUGCGUUCAGGACGUCAAAAUAAGUAAACUGCCCGAAAAGAGCUCGCCGGAGGUCCGGCCACGCGCCGCCGCCGGUCACGCGCCCCACCACAGGGUGCGCCUCCUCCUGCUGGUCAUGGUUCCAUGGUUCAUUUCGCCGGAAAGUCAAUAGGUUGGCCGGAAAUCAAGUUUUUCAUAUUCGGUUAAAAAAUGGUAAUGGCGAUUCCUUGCUGGUUUUUGAUCGAUUUUGGACUAAUAUCACUCCUCCUAGCUCUGAUACCAGUUUGUUGGGGAUCCUAGGAGUUCAAUCAACCAAAACAUCAACCCAUAGACAAGAUUCAAGGCAAAACAAUGAAAAAGGGGAUGGAAAAAUACAACCUGUGUUCGGCCGGAAAUUUCUGCAGUUUUCCUUCAUCGUUUCAGCAGCUUCUUCUUCGAUUUAUGGGUGUUUUUCAGGCUCAGGAACAGCCUUCCAUGACUUGCUAAUUACCUUCCAAGAGAGAGGGGAAAACCAAUGAAGAAUCACAACCCUUUGCUAAACCAACCGAGAGCUCCUCUCUGCUGGGAGAAAAGAAACCG